Molecule: ribosomal RNA, 2927 nt
Filed under: Escherichia coli
Lineage: Bacteria; Pseudomonadati; Pseudomonadota; Gammaproteobacteria; Enterobacterales; Enterobacteriaceae
Description: 23S ribosomal RNA
Rfam family: Bacterial large subunit ribosomal RNA
Source: RNAcentral
GGGUUGUGAGGUUAAGCGACUAAGCGUACACGGUGGAUGCCCUGGCAGUCAGAGGCGAUGAAGGACGUGCUAAUCUGCGAUAAGCGUCGGUAAGGUGAUAUGAACCGUUAUAACCGGCGAUUUCCGAAUGGGGAAACCCAGUGUGUUUCGACACACUAUCAUUAACUGAAUCCAUAGGUUAAUGAGGCGAACCGGGGGAACUGAAACAUCUAAGUACCCCGAGGAAAAGAAAUCAACCGAGAUUCCCCCAGUAGCGGCGAGCGAACGGGGAGCAGCCCAGAGCCUGAAUCAGUGUGUGUGUUAGUGGAAGCGUCUGGAAAGGCGCGCGAUACAGGGUGACAGCCCCGUACACAAAAAUGCACAUGCUGUGAGCUCGAUGAGUAGGGCGGGACACGUGGUAUCCUGUCUGAAUAUGGGGGGACCAUCCUCCAAGGCUAAAUACUCCUGACUGACCGAUAGUGAACCAGUACCGUGAGGGAAAGGCGAAAAGAACCCCGGCGAGGGGAGUGAAAAAGAACCUGAAACCGUGUACGUACAAGCAGUGGGAGCACGCUUAGGCGUGUGACUGCGUACCUUUUGUAUAAUGGGUCAGCGACUUAUAUUCUGUAGCAAGGUUAACCGAAUAGGGGAGCCGAAGGGAAACCGAGUCUUAACUGGGCGUUAAGUUGCAGGGUAUAGACCCGAAACCCGGUGAUCUAGCCAUGGGCAGGUUGAAGGUUGGGUAACACUAACUGGAGGACCGAACCGACUAAUGUUGAAAAAUUAGCGGAUGACUUGUGGCUGGGGGUGAAAGGCCAAUCAAACCGGGAGAUAGCUGGUUCUCCCCGAAAGCUAUUUAGGUAGCGCCUCGUGAAUUCAUCUCCGGGGGUAGAGCACUGUUUCGGCAAGGGGGUCAUCCCGACUUACCAACCCGAUGCAAACUGCGAAUACCGGAGAAUGUUAUCACGGGAGACACACGGCGGGUGCUAACGUCCGUCGUGAAGAGGGAAACAACCCAGACCGCCAGCUAAGGUCCCAAAGUCAUGGUUAAGUGGGAAACGAUGUGGGAAGGCCCAGACAGCCAGGAUGUUGGCUUAGAAGCAGCCAUCAUUUAAAGAAAGCGUAAUAGCUCACUGGUCGAGUCGGCCUGCGCGGAAGAUGUAACGGGGCUAAACCAUGCACCGAAGCUGCGGCAGCGACGCUUAUGCGUUGUUGGGUAGGGGAGCGUUCUGUAAGCCUGUGAAGGUGUGCUGUGAGGCAUGCUGGAGGUAUCAGAAGUGCGAAUGCUGACAUAAGUAACGAUAAAGCGGGUGAAAAGCCCGCUCGCCGGAAGACCAAGGGUUCCUGUCCAACGUUAAUCGGGGCAGGGUGAGUCGACCCCUAAGGCGAGGCCGAAAGGCGUAGUCGAUGGGAAACAGGUUAAUAUUCCUGUACUUGGUGUUACUGCGAAGGGGGGACGGAGAAGGCUAUGUUGGCCGGGCGACGGUUGUCCCGGUUUAAGCGUGUAGGCUGGUUUUCCAGGCAAAUCCGGAAAAUCAAGGCUGAGGCGUGAUGACGAGGCACUACGGUGCUGAAGCAACAAAUGCCCUGCUUCCAGGAAAAGCCUCUAAGCAUCAGGUAACAUCAAAUCGUACCCCAAACCGACACAGGUGGUCAGGUAGAGAAUACCAAGGCGCUUGAGAGAACUCGGGUGAAGGAACUAGGCAAAAUGGUGCCGUAACUUCGGGAGAAGGCACGCUGAUAUGUAGGUGAAGCGACUUGCUCGUGGAGCUGAAAUCAGUCGAAGAUACCAGCUGGCUGCAACUGUUUAUUAAAAACACAGCACUGUGCAAACACGAAAGUGGACGUAUACGGUGUGACGCCUGCCCGGUGCCGGAAGGUUAAUUGAUGGGGUUAGCGGUAACGCGAAGCUCUUGAUCGAAGCCCCGGUAAACGGCGGCCGUAACUAUAACGGUCCUAAGGUAGCGAAAUUCCUUGUCGGGUAAGUUCCGACCUGCACGAAUGGCGUAAUGAUGGCCAGGCUGUCUCCACCCGAGACUCAGUGAAAUUGAACUCGCUGUGAAGAUGCAGUGUACCCGCGGCAAGACGGAAAGACCCCGUGAACCUUUACUAUAGCUUGACACUGAACAUUGAGCCUUGAUGUGUAGGAUAGGUGGGAGGCUUAGAAGUGUGGACGCCAGUCUGCAUGGAGCCGACCUUGAAAUACCACCCUUUAAUGUUUGAUGUUCUAACGUUGACCCGUAAUCCGGGUUGCGGACAGUGUCUGGUGGGUAGUUUGACUGGGGCGGUCUCCUCCUAAAGAGUAACGGAGGAGCACGAAGGUUGGCUAAUCCUGGUCGGACAUCAGGAGGUUAGUGCAAUGGCAUAAGCCAGCUUGACUGCGAGCGUGACGGCGCGAGCAGGUGCGAAAGCAGGUCAUAGUGAUCCGGUGGUUCUGAAUGGAAGGGCCAUCGCUCAACGGAUAAAAGGUACUCCGGGGAUAACAGGCUGAUACCGCCCAAGAGUUCAUAUCGACGGCGGUGUUUGGCACCUCGAUGUCGGCUCAUCACAUCCUGGGGCUGAAGUAGGUCCCAAGGGUAUGGCUGUUCGCCAUUUAAAGUGGUACGCGAGCUGGGUUUAGAACGUCGUGAGACAGUUCGGUCCCUAUCUGCCGUGGGCGCUGGAGAACUGAGGGGGGCUGCUCCUAGUACGAGAGGACCGGAGUGGACGCAUCACUGGUGUUCGGGUUGUCAUGCCAAUGGCACUGCCCGGUAGCUAAAUGCGGAAGAGAUAAGUGCUGAAAGCAUCUAAGCACGAAACUUGCCCCGAGAUGAGUUCUCCCUGACCCUUUAAGGGUCCUGAAGGAACGUUGAAGACGACGACGUUGAUAGGCCGGGUGUGUAAGCGCAGCGAUGCGUUGAGCUAACCGGUACUAAUGAACCGUGAGGCUUAACCUUACAACGCCGAAG